UACGUAGGGUGCAAGCGUUACUCGGAAUUACUGGGCGUAAAGCGUGCGCAGGCGGUUUUGUAAGUCUGACGUGAAAUCCCCGGGCUUAACCUGGGAAUUGCGUUGGAGACUGCAAGGCUGGAGUCUGGCAGAGGGGGGUAGAAUUCCACGUGUAGCAGUGAAAUGCGUAGAUAUGCGGAGGAACACCGAUGGCGAAGGCAAUCCCCUGGGCCUGCACUGACGCUCAUGCACGAAAGCGUGGGGAGCAAACAGG
Molecule: ribosomal RNA, 253 nt
Filed under: uncultured bacterium
Lineage: Bacteria
Description: partial 16S ribosomal RNA
Rfam family: Bacterial small subunit ribosomal RNA
Source: RNAcentral